UAGGUCCCAAGGGUUGGGCUGUUCGCCCAUUAAAGUGGUACGCGAGCUGGGUUCAGAACGUCGUGAGACAGUUCGGUCCCUAUCCGUCGCAGGCGUAGGAAAUUUGAGAAGACCUGUCCUUAGUACGAGAGGACCGGGAUGGACGUACCUCUGGUGUACCAGUUGUUCUGCCAAGGGCAUGGCUGGGUAGCUAUGUACGGAAUGGAUAAGCGCUGAAAGCAUCUAAGCGCGAAGCCAACUUCAAGAUAAGA
This 251-nucleotide ribosomal RNA is filed under the name Clostridioides difficile. Its description in RNAcentral is "partial 23S ribosomal RNA". It matches the Rfam family "Bacterial large subunit ribosomal RNA", at positions 2559 to 2809 of the family's 2925-position model. Lineage: Bacteria; Bacillati; Bacillota; Clostridia; Peptostreptococcales; Peptostreptococcaceae. The record is from RNAcentral.